CGGGGACGGGGCGUUGACCUCGUCCGGAGGAGGAGAGACGGGCGGAGUUUGGUCUAGCGAGCGCUGCUGGUUUGCUUGGGAGCCAGGCGCCCCCUAGUGUGGAGUGAGCAGGCCGACGGUUUCUCUGGUGCUGCGACAGUCGUCAUAGGACCCCGCGCUGGGAAUCUCCGCCAGGAGCUGGCUGGGAGAUUCAGUUCAGCUCAGUUGCUCAGUUGUGUCGACUCUGCGACCCCGUGAAUCGCAGCAUGCCAGACCUCCCUGUCCAUCACCAACUCCCGGAGUUUUCCUUAGGCUCUUCUUUGACUAAGAGAAUAAGGACCGUUAAGGGACCCUGUUGGCCUCUUUUGAAAUCAGGUAAUCUACAAAAGAAGCUGGUGCCCUUGAUCACAAUAUUAAACUUCUACCUGGCUCGUGAGUCAGUGAAGAUGAAGCAGGGAAGCUGAAUGGAAACUGAUGGAGUUGUCAACUGAACCACUGCCCUACAUCUACAAGCUUCUCCUGAUUUGCCUCAGAGACCAAAGAGGGAAUUCAAUUUGGAAAUUGCAAGGAUUUGGCACCAAAAGUGGGAGAGCAAACUGACAAAUGGAAAGCUUGGUCAAAAUAUACUGUCUUGUAAAGUCAUCUGCACAGUGAAAAAUUGCCAUCUGUAUGUCCAUUGGGUGGAUGCAAGUUGGUACUGUAGUUGAUUGUGUUUCCUUGACAAUAAAAAAGUCCUCAAAUGA
Molecule: long non-coding RNA, 722 nt
Organism: Dama dama (fallow deer)
Lineage: Eukaryota; Metazoa; Chordata; Mammalia; Artiodactyla; Cervidae
Exons: 5
Source: RefSeq, a predicted model, not a curated record